RNAcentral lists this ribosomal RNA (253 nucleotides) under uncultured bacterium. RNAcentral describes it as "partial 16S ribosomal RNA". It matches the Rfam family "Bacterial small subunit ribosomal RNA", at positions 524 to 776 of the family's 1533-position model. The record is from RNAcentral.
UACGGGGGGGGCAAGCGUUGUUCGGAAUUACUGGGCGUAAAGGGCUCGUAGGCGGCCAACUAAGUCAGACGUGAAAUCCCUCGGCUUAGCCGGGGAACUGCGUCUGAUACUGGAUGGCUCGAGUUUGGGAGAGGGAUGCGGAAUUCCAGGUGUAGCGGUGAAAUGCGCAGAUAUCGGGAAGAACACCCGUGGCGAAGGCGGCUCUCUGGGACGGUACUGACGCUGAGACGCGAAAGCGUGGGGAGCGAACAGG